UGCAUUAUCGGAAAAAUAGAAAGUUAUUCGAUUAUUUGGUUGUUUCCUUGUGUUAGGUCUAAUGAGUAUUGGACAACGGAUUCGGGGAUCAUAAAUUACCCAAUUCCAAUUAGGAUAAGGACUGAUAAAAAAUGUAGGGCGCUACUGUUGGCCACCUAAAGAAUUUCCAUAUCCCAUGGGCGAUUCAUUUGGAACCCAGACACUUCAAAAGCUCUGUCGAUGGCUGCCUUGUGUUUGCACCAUUUUCAUGUAGCUGUCACUCCCUCUCCACGAUCUUUGGAUGGUAAUCCAAUUAGGGGAAUGUCAAACCGGGAGUUUGGGCCCCGCAUAAGAAUUGACCUUUGUUUUUCUGCUCGCCAUACGAUUACGACGCGUGCUUUCUUAGAAGACGAGGCAAGUGCAGAGAUUGUAAAGAAUAGGGAACUGUUAGAGUUAAUCUAAUCUAUGUAAGCAAAGUUAAGCUUUCGGUUUUGACUGGCAAGAAAAGGAGGCUUUAGUUUCCCCAGACUAAAACUCGGAUCUGUGCGUACAAGUACUGGCGCUCUUAGGGCAGUAACAUCCUAGCAUCCUUGAAAUCAAACAGACAUCCAAGUCCAAAAACUAGUUGUUUCCCAUAGUAAUGAACUUAAAAGUGUCAGUUUUCAUUAAAAUUUUUUAACAUUAACUCUAGGUUUGCUCCCAUUGCUGCCAACGCGAAGCUCCUCUGUGCGAAGUACCGAUAUGUCGGGCGGACAGAAUCAGCCAGACUCAUCGGUGGACGUUCAGUGACCCAGCGUCACCGGCGGAGGACUAGAGCUCGUCUGUCCGGUGUCCAAGUGUCAGCCGUGGCUCAAAUGGAGUGGCAUGUGCCGCAAACAUUUUCAUGAUUAAUAAUAUUAUUUUUCCAGUAACGAAAUUAUCGCGGAGCGGAGACCUAUGUCCGUCGCUCUAAGCUGCGGUUAAUUCCCCGGCUAACAAAGGUGGCAUAACUGGCACCUCAUAGACAAGACCAGACAAGAUAUGACGCCAGGCUCGGAAACCGAAACUGACAUUUUGUCCAGUCUGGAGUGUACGAGUAUGCUGGGAGUGCUGCCGCCGUCCGUCUGGCUAACUGGUCUUGGUCUUCUGGCUACUGGCUCCUAUUUCUAUUGAAUGUGUCAUGGAACAACAACAGAAAAAUGUUUUGAUUUUCAACUGGACUUUGUUGCGUUGCUCGCGUUGGGUCUUAAACUCCGACUGGGGUCCACCAGUUGUUCGGCUGGAAUGUGUGACGGCUUAUCUCGACGCAACUGACAACUGGAUCCCAAUCCCAAUCCCGAUCCCGAUCUCGAUCUCCAGCUCGAUGUCGGUCGAGCCCCCGACUGUGAGACACAUAUUUUGCAUCCGCCUGGGUUGUGGCUUACAAUUUCAAUUGAAAUUUAAUUAAUUAGAUGACAGUUGGAUUGACACUUGACUGCGCUUUAUACUUGACCGAUCUGUGUUGCGCUCGUUGACUAUAUUUUGUUUGGGUUCCUUCUAGUUUUUUAGUUUGAACGACUGGUGCGCGCUGUUUUUUGAAUAAUUAAAUUUCUUGGAAUCAGGAAUCUUGGAAUUUGGUGACUGAACUUUUCAUCGAGAAGGGAAACCAUAAGGACAUGGAAUUAAGAGCGAAAAUAAAAUCCAAGUCCGAGGUGCAUUAACAAUAUUGCAAUCUGACAUCCCGAUCGUCGAUGGAUAAGUCGCCACUAAGCGAGUCGUAUCAGGUAGGCAAAGGGAGGGGCAAUCGCGGUCAGGUAUGAAAUCACGGCACAAGAGAUGCCUAAAGCGUAUUCUAAUUAAGCGUGAAGCUCACCUGGAGGCAGUUGUACGCCUACUGCCACGCAAAGCGAGCACAAACUUUAAAGGUCUGUAACAGAGAAAACAAUCUCAAUCGCGAUCAAGCGGCUGUUCUUAUCUUGAGAUCAUACAAAACCGGCAGUGGAUUGCAUGUGCUUGUCGUUGAUAAAAUGUUGAAUGCUGUUUUCAUUAAAUAUGAUUUAGUUAACACUCUUCCUAUCAAAAACACAAGUAGGUAUUAAGCUUAAAAACUUUGCAUUUCCAAUCAAUUUUUACGAACUUAAACCGACCUACAUUUUUUUCUGUGCAUAUUACAUAGUGCGCAUCUCACGGAUUUGGAACGAAGUGAUGCCGACUCUGAUCCAUAGUCCGAUCGUAUCGAUACUCGCCCGAGUCCUAUCGCCACAUAAAGUGUGGCUAAUUGCGGUUUCAAAUAAAGAGCGGGACGAUGCCGCCAAAAGAGGCUGGCGCAUGAAUACACUAGCGCUUGUAUUAAUCCUAAGCCCCCACAUUCCCCACACUCCAUCCGUUCCCUCCACCGUCGAUAAGUUUUGCCGAAAGGGAAAAUCAACUUCAAGGCAGCCGUCAGAGGACUAUCCAUCCAUCCAUGCAGGCGUGAAUCGGAGGAGCUGGUCCGGCUAGUAGGCAGUGUGCCGAAAGCUUUGGCCAGACUGUUGGUCUCGGUGAAUGAGCCGUAUUGGCGUAGGUUCAGUAAUGAGCUGAAACACAAUUUCCCCUUUGGACUUCGCUUUUGCCUCCCAUAUAAAAGCUAAAAGGUGUGGUAUUGGCAAAGGUGACAACGUUUGUGAGGCGACAUAUUAAAAUAGAGAAUAAAUGGCGA
This is a long non-coding RNA of Drosophila yakuba, 2635 nucleotides long. RefSeq lists it as uncharacterized. NCBI's taxonomy places the organism in Eukaryota, Metazoa, Arthropoda, Insecta, Diptera, Drosophilidae. The transcript has 2 exons. The record is from RefSeq and is a predicted model, not a curated record.